AUGGCCGAGAAGGAGGCCGGCAACCUCGAGGCCGUCCUCAAGGAGGUCGUCGACCUGGAGAACAUACCCCUGGAGGAGGUGUUCGACAACCUGAGAUGCAGCCGCGCCGGCCUCACCGCGGAGCAGGCGCAGCAGCGCCUCCAAAUCUUCGGCGCCAACAAGCUGGAGGAGAAGGAGGAGAGCAAGGUCCUCAAGUUCCUGGGCUUCAUGUGGAACCCGCUCUCCUGGGUCAUGGAGGCCGCCGCCAUCAUGGCCAUCGCGCUCGCCAACGGAGGGAAUAAGCCGCCGGACUGGCAGGACUUCAUCGGCAUCAUCACCCUGCUGGUUAUCAACUCCACCAUCAGUUUCAUCGAGGAGAACAAUGCCGGCAACGCCGCCGCCGCGCUCAUGGCCCGUCUCGCGCCCAAAGCCAAGAUUCUUCGCGAUGGCCGGUGGACCGAGGAAGACGCGGCCAUCCUUGUGCCAGGGGACGUCAUCAGCAUCAAGCUCGGAGACAUCAUACCUGCAGAUGCACGCCUCCUAGAGGGAGACCCUCUCAAGAUUGAUCAGUCUGCCCUCACUGGAGAAUCAUUGCCGGCCACCAAAGGCCCCGGUGAUGGCGUCUACUCCGGUUCGACCGUCAAGCAAGGUGAGAUCGAAGCCGUCGUGAUCGCCACCGGUGUUCACACCUUCUUCGGAAAGGCUGCGCACCUUGUUGACUCCACUAACCAAGUGGGCCAUUUUCAGAAGGUUCUGACGGCCAUUGGGAACUUCUGCAUUUGUUCGAUUGGUGUGGGAAUGUUCAUCGAGAUCAUUGUAAUGUAUCCUAUCCAGCACAGGGCGUACCGCCCUGGAAUUGACAACCUCUUGGUCCUUCUCAUUGGAGGCAUUCCCAUAGCCAUGCCGACAGUCUUAUCCGUGACUAUGGCUAUCGGGUCACAUCGAUUAUCUCAACAGGGAGCUAUCACAAAGAGAAUGACUGCAAUCGAGGAGAUGGCGGGCAUGGAUGUCCUUUGCAGUGACAAAACUGGGACUUUGACUCUCAAUAAGCUUACUGUGGACAAGAACCUUGUUGAGGUUUUCGAAAGAGGCAUCACUCAGGACCAAGUGAUUCUCAUGGCUGCUAGAGCGUCUCGAACAGAAAACCAAGAUGCUAUCGAUACUGCAAUUGUUGGGAUGCUAGCUGAUCCGAAAGAGGCACGUGCUGGUAUUCAAGAAGUUCAUUUUCUGCCAUUCAAUCCUACUGACAAGAGAACGGCGCUGACAUACAUUGACGCUGAUGGCAAAAUGCACCGUGUUAGUAAGGGUGCACCCGAGCAGAUUCUUCACCUCGCUCACAACACAUCGGAAAUAGAGCGGAGGGUCCAUGCUGUGAUUGACAAAUUUGCAGAGCGUGGACUUCGAUCGCUGGCUGUAGCGUAUCAGGAAGUACCAGAUGGGAGGAAAGAAAGCCCUGGUGGCCCAUGGCACUUUGCUGGUCUGAUGCCACUUUUUGAUCCUCCUAGACAUGACAGUGCUGAAACAAUCCGGAGGGCACUUAACCUUGGUGUUAAUGUCAAGAUGAUCACAGGUGAUCAGCUCGCCAUUGGAAAGUCAACAGGGCGUCGCCUGGGAAUGGGUACAAACAUGUAUCCUUCAUCUGCUCUGUUGGGGCAGAAAAAUUCAGACGAGUCCAUUUCUGCUUUACCAGUUGAUGAUCUCAUUGAGAAAGCUGAUGGUUUUGCUGGCGUCUUCCCUGAGCACAAGUAUGAGAUUGUGAAACGCCUGCAAGCACGAAAGCACAUCUGUGGAAUGACGGGUGAUGGAGUAAAUGAUGCUCCAGCUCUAAAGAAAGCAGAUAUUGGUAUUGCUGUUGCUGAUGCCACUGAUGCAGCCAGGAGUGCUUCAGAUAUUGUCCUCACAGAACCAGGCCUCAGCGUGAUCAUCAGUGCUGUGCUUACCAGUCGUGCAAUUUUCCAGCGUAUGAAGAACUACACUAUCUAUGCUGUCUCCAUCACAAUUCGUAUUGUGCUUGGAUUUAUGCUACUUGCCCUCAUCUGGAAGUUCGACUUUCCACCGUUCAUGGUCCUGAUCAUAGCGAUUCUAAAUGAUGGUACCAUCAUGACUAUAUCAAAGGAUCGGGUAAAACCAUCUCCACUACCCGACAGCUGGAAGCUGGCUGAGAUUUUCACAACUGGAGUUAUCCUUGGUGGAUACUUGGCAAUAAUGACGGUCAUCUUCUUCUGGGCUGCGUACAAGACAAACUUUUUCCCGAGAUUGUUUCAUGUCGAAAGCCUCGAGAAGACAGCUCAGGACGAUAUCCAAAAGCUCGCGGCUGCCAUUUACCUCCAAGUCAGCACCAUCAGCCAAGCUCUCAUCUUUGUCACCAGGUCACGCAGCUGGUCAUUUGCCGAGCGUCCUGGGUUUCUACUGGUCUUUGCAUUCUUCGUUGCGCAGCUGAUUGCUACACUGAUCGCGGUGUAUGCUGACUGGCCGUUCACUCAGAUCAAAGGCAUCGGGUGGGGCUGGGCUGGCGUCGUGUGGCUCUACAAUAUCAUCACAUACCUCCCGCUCGAUAUCAUCAAGUUCCUCAUCCGAUACACUCUGAGCGGCAAAGCAUGGGAUCUCGUCAUCGAUCAAAGGAUUGCGUUCACAAGGAAGAAAGACUUCGGCAAGGAGGAGAGGGAGCUCAAGUGGGCACACGCUCAGAGGACCCUCCAUGGGCUGCAGCCACCGGAUGCUAAGAUGUUCUCGGAGAAGGGGGCCUACAAUGAGCUGAAUCACAUGGCUGAAGAGGCCAAGAGGAGGGCCGAGAUUGCAAGGUUGAGGGAGCUUCAUACUGUGAAACUGUACUGGCAUGUAGGAUGUAUGGGAAUCGGAAAUGCCAACCGACCCUAUUGUAGAGGUUAA
This 2868-nucleotide ribosomal RNA is filed under the name Triticum aestivum (bread wheat). Its description in RNAcentral is "partial small subunit ribosomal RNA". Lineage: Eukaryota; Viridiplantae; Streptophyta; Magnoliopsida; Poales; Poaceae. The record is from RNAcentral.